CCUACGGGUGGCUGCAGUGGGGGAUAUUGCACAAUGGGGGAAACCCUGAUGCAGCAACGCCGCGUGUGGGAAGAAGGUUUUCGGAUUGUAAACCACUGUUCUUGGUGAAGAUAAUGACGGUAGCCAAGGAGAAAGCUCCGGCUAACUACGUGCCAGCAGCCGCGGUAAUACGUAGGGAGCAAGCGUUGUCCGGAUUUACUGGGUGUAAAGGGUGCGUAGGCGGCUAGGCAAGUCAGACGUGAAAACCAUGGGCUCAACCUGUGGACUGCGUUUGAAACUGUUUAGCUUGAGUGAAGUAGAGGUAGGCGGAAUUCCCGGUGUAGCGGUGAAAUGCGUAGAGAUCGGGAGGAACACCAGUGGCGAAGGCGGCCUACUGGGCUUUAACUGACGCUGAGGCACGAAAGCAUGGGUAGCAAACAGGAUUAGAUACCCCUGUAGUC
RNAcentral lists this ribosomal RNA (440 nucleotides) under Clostridioides difficile. RNAcentral's name for it is "bacterial SSU rRNA". It matches the Rfam family "Bacterial small subunit ribosomal RNA", at positions 338 to 795 of the family's 1533-position model. Lineage: Bacteria; Bacillati; Bacillota; Clostridia; Peptostreptococcales; Peptostreptococcaceae. The record is from RNAcentral.